RNAcentral lists this ribosomal RNA (253 nucleotides) under uncultured bacterium. RNAcentral describes it as "partial 16S ribosomal RNA". It matches the Rfam family "Bacterial small subunit ribosomal RNA", at positions 524 to 776 of the family's 1533-position model. The record is from RNAcentral.
UACGUAGGGUGCGAGCGUUAAUCGGAAUUACUGGGCGUAAAGCGUGCGCAGGCGGUGAUGUAAGACAGAUGUGAAAUCCCCGGGCUCAACCUGGGAACUGCAUUUGUGACUGCACCGCUGGAGUGCGGCAGAGGGGGAUGGAAUUCCGCGUGUAGCAGUGAAAUGCGUAGAUAUGCGGAGGAACACCGAUGGCGAAGGCAAUCCCCUGGGCCUGCACUGACGCUCAUGCACGAAAGCGUGGGGAGCAAACAGG